CAGUAGCCACGGUAAUACGUAGGGUGCAAGCGUUAAUCGGAAUUACUGGGCGUAAAGCGUGCGCAGGCGGUUAUAUAAGACAGAUGUGAAAUCCCCGGGCUCAACCUGGGAACUGCAUUUGUGACUGUAUAGCUAGAGUACGGCAGAGGGGGAUGGAAUUCCGCGUGUAGCAGUGAAAUGCGUAGAUAUGCGGAGGAACACCGAUGGCGAAGGCAAUCCCCUGGGCCUGUACUGACGCUCAUGCACGAAAGCGUGGGGAGCAAACAGGAUUAGAUACCUGGGUAGUCCCUGUCUCUUAUAA
RNAcentral lists this ribosomal RNA (301 nucleotides) under uncultured bacterium. RNAcentral's name for it is "partial 16S ribosomal RNA". It matches the Rfam family "Bacterial small subunit ribosomal RNA", at positions 509 to 809 of the family's 1533-position model. The record is from RNAcentral.